CAGCAGCCACGGUAACACGAGGGGGGCAAGCGUUGUUCGGAAUUAUUGGGCGUAAAGGGUGCGUAGGCGGUUCAGCAAGUCUCGUGUGAAAUCUUCGGGCUCAACCCGAAGUCUGCACGGGAAACUACUGGGCUUGAGUAGUGGAGAAGUGAGUGGAGUUUCCGGUGUAGCGGUGAAAUGCGUAGAUAUCGGAAGGAACACCUGUGGCGAAAGCGGCUCACUGGACAUUUACUGACGCUGAUGUACGAAGGCUAGGGGAGCAAACAGGAUUAGAUACCCCGGUAGUCCCUGUCUCUUAUAC
This 301-nucleotide ribosomal RNA is filed under the name uncultured bacterium. Its description in RNAcentral is "partial 16S ribosomal RNA". It matches the Rfam family "Bacterial small subunit ribosomal RNA", at positions 509 to 807 of the family's 1533-position model. The record is from RNAcentral.